GAGUUUGAUCCUGGCUCAGAACGAACGCUGGCGGCGUGCCUAACACAUGCAAGUCGAACGUGAUCCAGAGCUUGCUCUGGUGAAAGUGGCGCACGGGUGAGUAACGCGUGGAUAACCUACCCUGGUAUCCGGGAUAACAUUCCGAAAGGGGUGCUAAUACCGGAUAAGCCCACGGGCUCUUUGGAGCUUGCGGGAAAAGGUGGCCUCUAUUUAUAAGCUACUGUAUCAGGAUGGGUCCGCGUACCAUUAGCUAGUUGGCGGUGUAACGGACCACCAAGGCGACGAUGGUUAGCUGGUCUGAGAGGAUGAUCAGCCACACUGGAACUGAGACACGGUCCAGACUCCUACGGGAGGCAGCAGUGGGGAAUUUUGCGCAAUGGGGGAAACCCUGACGCAGCAACGCCGCGUGAGUGAUGAAGGCCUUUGGGUCGUAAAGCUCUGUCAGAGGGGAAGAAAUGAUAUAGUGCUAAUACCACUUUAUCUUGACGGUACCCUCAUAGGAAGCACCGGCUAACUCCGUGCCAGCAGCCGCGGUAAUAC
RNAcentral lists this ribosomal RNA (540 nucleotides) under uncultured Geobacteraceae bacterium. RNAcentral's name for it is "bacterial SSU rRNA". It matches the Rfam family "Bacterial small subunit ribosomal RNA", at positions 9 to 526 of the family's 1533-position model. The record is from RNAcentral. Lineage: Bacteria; Pseudomonadati; Thermodesulfobacteriota; Desulfuromonadia; Geobacterales; Geobacteraceae.